Molecule: non-coding RNA, 108 nt
Organism: Cicer arietinum (chickpea)
Lineage: Eukaryota; Viridiplantae; Streptophyta; Magnoliopsida; Fabales; Fabaceae
Source: Rfam
CUAUAUUUGUUGGUUCAGUGUCUUAAGAACUCAAAUAUUAUUGUGUUGUCAUCAACUUCUUCUCUUGUAUGAACCACGAGUUAGAAGUUAAAUAAUUGCACUAAAUCG